CGAACCUUCGGGUUAGUGGCGGACGGGUGAGUAACGCGUGAGAAUCUGCCCUCAGGAGGGGGAUAACGGCUGGAAACGGCCGCUAAUACCCCAUAUGCCGAGAGGUGAAAUGAGUUUUCGCCUGAGGAUGAGCUCGCGUCUGAUUAGCUAGUUGGUGGGGUAAAGGCCUACCAAGGCAUCGAUCAGUAGCUGGUCUGAGAGGAUGAUCAGCCACACUGGGACUGAGACACGGCCCAGACUCCUACGGGAGGCAGCAGUGGGGAAUUUUCCGCAAUGGGCGAAAGCCUGACGGAGCAACGCCGCGUGAGGGAUGAAGGCCUCUGGGCUGUAAACCUCUUUUCUCAAGGAAGAAGAUCUGACGGUACUUGAGGAAUAAGCCACGGCUAAUUCCGUGCCAGCAGCCGCGGUAAU
Molecule: ribosomal RNA, 411 nt
Filed under: uncultured bacterium
Lineage: Bacteria
Description: bacterial SSU rRNA
Rfam family: Bacterial small subunit ribosomal RNA
Source: RNAcentral